UGGGUAACCUGCCCAAGAGAUCGGGAUAACACCUGGAAACAGAUGCUAAUACCGGAUAACAACAGAUGAUGCCUAUCAACUGUUUAAAAGAUGGUUCUGCUAUCACUCUUGGAUGGACCUGCGGUGCAUUAGCUAGUUGGUAGGGUAACGGCCUACCAAGGCGAUGAUGCAUAGCCGGGUUGAGAGACUGAUCGGCCACAUUGGGACUGAGACACGGCCCAAACUCCUACGGGAGGCAGCAGUC
RNAcentral lists this ribosomal RNA (244 nucleotides) under uncultured Lactobacillus sp. RNAcentral's name for it is "partial 16S ribosomal RNA". It matches the Rfam family "Bacterial small subunit ribosomal RNA", at positions 118 to 355 of the family's 1533-position model. The record is from RNAcentral. Lineage: Bacteria; Bacillati; Bacillota; Bacilli; Lactobacillales; Lactobacillaceae.